This is a long non-coding RNA of Alligator mississippiensis (American alligator), 3646 nucleotides long. RefSeq lists it as uncharacterized. The transcript is spliced from 2 exons. The record is from RefSeq and is a predicted model, not a curated record. Lineage: Eukaryota; Metazoa; Chordata; Crocodylia; Alligatoridae.
CAUUGCAUGGACUCGAGGUCUAACACUUAACCUUUUUAAACUCAAGGCACCCCUCCAUAACUUUUGUGUGUUGAGCAGCACCCUAUUUAAAAAACAAAUUUAUUACAAUACUCACUUCUUUCCAGAGGGCCACGCAGGGACAGUUCUUAUCCACUCAACUCCUUACGCCUAAAGCCUGAGCCUGCCCUUAUCUGCUUAUCUUCUCACACUUUGCUUAAUUCCUCACACAUCCUGCUGCACCCUUCCAAGAAUCUCAUGGCACCCCAAGGUCCUCCAGCACCCUAGUUGAGAAUUGCUGAUAUAAGACAAGGGUUGUCUAUCUAAGGCCCACAGGUCUGAUCUAGCUCAGAAAGAGGUCUGACCCAACCUGUGGACACCAGUCUCACAGGGGGCAUCAGUGGCAAAGAGCUGGGCAGUGGUGCCCACUUGCUCUGCAGCACUCCCCUCUAACAUGCAGUGUGCUGCUCCACAUCAUCUGAACCUAUGUUUGCUGCAGAGGAGCUAGGAAUCUCUGGCAGCUGGCCCUUGGGGGGGAAUGAAGCAGAGACUUUCAGCUCACAGGAACAUCAGGGUUUAAUUUCUGAUCUGCACCAGCAAAAGGCUGCCACCCCCCGACAGAAGCCAUCACUUACAAGAUUACAAGUUUAGAUAAUAGCCUGCUGCCCCAAGGACUCAUGUGGUAAACAAGCAUGAAGCAAUAGAGUCCAACCAGUCCAUGGAAGCUGCAAGUAGAGAAACCUCCUGGAACUUGGGUAGUAUAUGUGUUUAUUGAGUGGGGUAGCCAUCAAGGAAGAAGAACACAAGAAAACUCACCAAAAAAUAAAACAAAACAAAACCACAUACAUCUCCCACCUCCUGAGAGAAUACAAGUCUGGAGGUAGUGCUGAGUGAGCACACUCCACUUUUUCUGUAGGAACUGGGCCACAGCGCAGAAAGAAAAGCAUUAGGAUCAGGGGGAGCCUGACUGGGUAGCCUUGUGCUUGGGGUACUUGUGCGAGAGGAAGUCCUGAAUCUCCAGAUUUUUUGUGUUUUCUAUCCAAACACUGUUGGGCAGUGUGCAGAGACAAUAGUCGGAGCAGGAAUUGAAAUGCAGGCCUCCCCUACCCAGGGGAGUGGCCUCAUCACAGGGAAGAGCACUGUUGCCUUCCUUCCUGCACCGUCCCACCACACCCAGGAAUCUUCAGCUUUUUGCUGCUUGGAUAGGCCAACCUCACCAUGAAGGGUUCAAAGUGCCCCCACUCAGAAUAGCCUGGAGCCCAGUGGUUACAGCACUGGAGAGGUAGGUCUGAAGAAGCUGACGAGAACAUUGACCCUAGAGGCUCCAGAUUCCUGGGCAAAUGUUCUAACCAUUAAGCUGUUAUGUAAUAAAUGAAAAAGGAACCAUUACAGGCCACGUUUGAAAAAAAGAAACUACUACAACUACCUUUUCUAAGGUACUUGGCCCUCUUACAACAUUAGUUGUGUUCUGAAAAUAUUCCUGCCGGCCUGAGCUGUCAGGAGACUGAGACAGAGAAGUGCCUAGAUCCCAGUCAGGCCCAGGAAGGAGACAGGUAUACAAACACAAACUGACUAAAGGUUGCUGUGUAUUUGCAGGUCAAACAGGAAAGAAGCAAAUGAGUUGUAGGUGUUUCCACAGUUAAACUGACACUGAGGAGAAAGUUUUUUGCAUUGCAGGUUUGGACUUACAGCUGCCUAAAUUCUGCCAGAGUCCUGAUUUGAGUGCUUGAGUUCUCAGCAGCAGCAGCUGGGGAGUCUCAAAGUUUUCAAAAGGACAAAGAAAAGCAAAAGCCAAUUUACUACAUCAUUUAAAUCUGAUAUGCUCUAUGAUGCACUAGCUACUGAUCAGUAGGGGUAUGCAAAGCAGGCUGUAUUUGAUUCGGAUUCAGCCUGAUUUGGGGACACUGAUUCUAUUUGCUGAUUCAGAUUGCUGUCCUGAUGAGAUUCAACUGAAUCUGAAGAUUUGAUUCUGAUUCAGAGAAUCAAUGAUUCAGCCACAGACAGCUUUAUAUGUUUUUUUCUACAUGCCUCGAGGUAUCAGGCUCAUGAACGCUGAGAUGGUGGGGUGGAUGGAGUAUCCCAUGGGAGUAUGGUGAGGGGGAGGCCCGCACACUCUGCAGCAGACCUGGAAGUGGACCAGAAGUACUUCCAGUUCACUUCUGGGGCCACCUCCGAGCACACAGGGGAUGCCCCCCUCCCCCCGGCUCAGCAGUCAGCCGGAGGGGGACCCCGAGUGCCCCCCCCCAGACCCAGGAGGCACCAGUCUGGCACCAACAAUGAGAUGCAAAAGCUUGGAGAAAUUAAUGCCCAGUGGUCAACACUGUCAAACUUGGUCACAUUACUGAGGGGCUGUUUAUUUACAGCCUCUGCAUUUAGACACUUCAGUGAGCUCAGAAGUUCUGCAGUGCUCUAGUCUGGAUUUGGGUGCCUGGCAAGUUAAAAAAAAAAUCUCAGACGCAUCAUAUAAUAAAGUGCAUUUUUGGAACUUUGCUUGUGGUUGAAUCAUAGAAAUUACUGCUCCAACGAGCGAGCAGUACCAUGUAAAGUCAAUUCUGCUCUCAGGCUAAACCUGUCUUGAAAAUGUUGAGGAGAAUGCAGUAUCACUGGGCAGUAUUUAGUUUUAAAUAUAAUUUUGGAUCAGCUGACUGCAGCUCUACUAGAUGAGCUUUGCUCUACUCUCAGCACCUGGGAAGGCCAAGUGCAAUGUCCUGAUUUUUUUAACUCCAGAGACAGGCUCUUUCUUUCCUCCUCUCCUUUCCAAGGUGUAACAGGGCAAGGAACAGCUGUUUUCCUUUGGUGCUACAAAGUUGCGAGUGUGGGGGAAAGUCAGGUCAGGGAAAGGGCAAGGAUAAUUACUUAGUAGACACAGUGGGGAAGAAGGAUCUCACCUGGGGUGAAUGGAGCCUGAUUAAGAGCCAGUGGCUAUUAAAGUCCACAGCAGGGGGCUUUUCUUUGUCCCCUGGGGCACGAUGUGAGGAAAGUCAGCAGGGAAAGCCAGGAGCGGCAAACCCAGCGCUGGAACAGAUCACUAAUAAGACCAUCUGACUGGGUGAAGGUAACCACGGUGACCAGCAAAGCAAAGAGGUGAGAGAGAGAAAGAGAAAGAGAGAGAAGAUACUUACCAGAUUGAUCCUCAGGCAGAGAGAAGGUCCCACAGAGGAAGAAUCCACUGAUACCUGUAAAGGAAGGAAAGAGUGUGAGACUGGAGAUGGGGAAACUGAAGUAAGAAGAGAUUAAAUGACUUGCCUAAAAAUCUCCCAGCAGGAGUGGCAGAGGCAGGAAGAGAACUGAGGUGACUCACUAUACAUUUCAACACAAGUUCAUUGUAUAAGAAAAAACUGCUAAAAAUCAUUACGACUGUUGGGUAUGUUGUUAUUUUGACUCCUUGAUUAAUAUGCCACAUGGAAAAAUUAAUUAUGAAGUACACAUGCUGUUGAUUGACCUAAUAUUUAAACUGAAUGCAUAAAUCAUUGUGGAAAUGUAGUUAAAUCAGGGUUUUAAAUUGUUUGCAAACUUUAUGUCAACUGGCUUUUUAAGAUAAUUUAUUUGCACUGUUGACUAUAAACCUUCUCCUUAACACUAGAUUGCUGAGAAAUCAAUGAUUUUGUUGUUGUUUACAUAAAUGUCCUUAAUCCAAGGGUUAAGAAGU